This is a long non-coding RNA of Rhineura floridana, 990 nucleotides long. RefSeq lists it as uncharacterized. Lineage: Eukaryota; Metazoa; Chordata; Lepidosauria; Squamata; Rhineuridae. The transcript is spliced from 4 exons. The record is from RefSeq and is a predicted model, not a curated record.
CAAAGGUCCUCUGCUCUGGCUGUUAAGAGACAGAGGAGCCCCAAUUCCUCCCCUCGUGUCAUCAUGCUCCAAUGGCCAGCUCCCCACCAAAGAUCAGGCAACACAAUCCAGACAUCUGUCUGCCUCAGAGAGCAGAUGCAUUGCAGAAAAGAAACGAUGCACAGUGCAUCCUAGUGACUCAAAGACAGACCUUUCUCCUUGGGGGCAAACAACCUCCCGUCCCUGGGGAGAGAAAAAAUGCACUGUCCAUCAGCUGCUGGUUGAGUGGAGUCUCUGUGGAACUUCUGCUGUGCUGAGAGAACCCCCUCCCCAUCUGCCACUUUCUCCAAGGCGGUAGACUAGGAACAACAACAAUUGAAGCCACACUUUCCAGUAUGUGAAUUCUCUUUUACUACUAUUGGACAAGAAACAAAUCAUCAUGCAAACAACAAGGUGCAUCAUCAUCAGGUUUAAAGAGGUUGAGCUGACCACAUGGAACCACUGUUGUUGCUUCAAUGGAUGUAAGGGAGUAAGGUCAAAGCCACUCAUCCCGGCUCUUUAAUACUGGCUGUAUCACAGCAACCAUCAUAGCAACCAGGAGGGUCCCCCUCCUGCUAGUCCAGUUGGCAAACAGUUGCUAAGAAACCAACUUGACCUUUCCUCAUCCACUUGCAGCAGUUCUCUGUACCAUCUCCAAAUAGCUUGCAUGGAUUAUGAGAUAAUGUGGAGCCAGACAGUUUGGUAGCCUUUUGGGUGAAGAUUAAAGAGCUACUCCCCCCCUUCUGCUCUGCAUACACUGGGAGACACAGAAGUUGCCACAAAGAAAACAAGCCCCGCCCCACCCCGAUGUUCCAGUUCUUAGCUCAGCUCAGCUCCUGAUGGUGGAGGAUCAGCGUAUGAGCUUCAGCGAAAGGAUGUGUAAAGCAAAUGGCAGCAGGCUCCCUUUACUUUUGUUUUGGUUUUGUGGAAAUGUAGAUCUGACAAGUAAAAUAAACCUGUGCUUGUACAGUA